This 372-nucleotide ribosomal RNA is filed under the name uncultured organism. RNAcentral's name for it is "bacterial SSU rRNA". It matches the Rfam family "Bacterial small subunit ribosomal RNA", at positions 526 to 896 of the family's 1533-position model. The record is from RNAcentral.
CGUAGGUGGCAAGCGUUGUCCGGAGUUACUGGGUGUAAAGGGCGUGUAGGCGGGUGAUCUAGUCAGAUGUGAAAUUCCAUGGCUCAACUGUGGCGCUGCAUCUGAAACUGGUCAUCUUGAGUGAUGGAGAGGAAAGCGGAAUUCCUAGUGUAGCGGUGAAAUGCGUAGAUAUUAGGAGGAACACCAGUGGCGAAGGCGGCUUUCUGGACAUUAACUGACGCUGAGGCGCGAAAGCGUGGGGAGCAAACAGGAUUAGAUACCCUGGUAGUCCACGCUGUAAACGAUGGAUACUAGGUGUAGGAGAUAUCGACCCCUUCUGUGCCGGAGUUAACACAAUAAGUAUCCCACCUGGGGAGUACGGCCGCAAGGUUG